Molecule: ribosomal RNA, 406 nt
Filed under: bacterium KBS-101
Lineage: Bacteria
Description: bacterial SSU rRNA
Rfam family: Bacterial small subunit ribosomal RNA (bases 14-377)
Source: RNAcentral
UACGGAAUGGGGGCGGGCCCUAAUACAUGCAAGUCGAGCGGACAGAUGGGAGCUUGCUCCCUGAUGUUAGCGGCGGACGGGUGAUUAACACGUGGGUAACCUGCCUGUAAGACUGGGAUAACUCCGGGAAACCGGGGCUAAUACCGGAUGGUUGUUUGAACCGCAUGGUUCAGACAUAAAAGGUGGCUUCGGCUACCACUUCCAGAUGGACCCGCGGCGCAUUAGCUAGUUGGUGAGGUAACGGCUCACCAAGGCGACGAUGCGUAGCCGACCUGAGAGGGUGAUCGGCCACUCUGGGACUGAGACACGGCCCAGACUCCUACGGGAGGCAGCAGUGGGGAAUCUUCCGCAAUGCAGGAAAGUUUAAAGGAGCAACGGCGGGUGCCCCCCCCCCCGCUCUCCGGAG